Non-coding RNA from Zonotrichia albicollis (white-throated sparrow), 97 nucleotides. The record is from RefSeq and is a predicted model, not a curated record. NCBI's taxonomy places the organism in Eukaryota, Metazoa, Chordata, Aves, Passeriformes, Passerellidae.
AGCUGCUGCGCGAGGAGAAGGACGAGCUGGCCGAGCAGGUGCUGGCCCUCAAGGCACAGGUGGAGGCGCAGCUGCAGGUGGUGCAGAAGCUGGAGGA